UUGUCUGUGGUGCGCCGGGUGUACCUGUACAGCCCAUCACGUGGCCUUUUUUUAAAAACAAUGAAAACUGGUUCUUUUGGUUAACCAGUUAAACUAAGGAAAAAAAAAACUCCCGCUCGUUCAAAACCUAGGCUGCACACAGAUCGAUUUCGUCUAUCUCCUCCUCCAAAACUUUGCACAGCCACAGCUCUAUUUCGGUGAAUUCAUAGCUGCACAGCUUCCUACAGCCUGAAGAAGCUCCCCCCACUUCGUCUUCUCCAUCUGAGGAGCAGAUUUCAGCCAAAACCCAGAAACCCACUUCGUCUUCUCCAGCUGCUUCCUCCAUCUCGGUAAGUUCGUGUGUUGAUUUUUGUUAUGUGUAAUUGAUGGUUCUAUUUAAUUUAUUCUUCUAGUGAUUUUGAAUUGUUGUUUCAGUUUUUUCAUUGAACAAUUCCAGAAAUUAAUGAUUCAAAUUUUGUAUUUCUUUUCCCACUCUGCAUUUCUGCUGGGUUGUUAUAGUGCCUCUUGAUCUGAUUGUAUAUAUAAAUACCCAUAAGGCCUCUGAUUGUGUAUGAUUUAAUUGUGGUGGGUUUGUGAUUCUGAAAGUGGCGUGAGGUGAAGUGGGUAUCUGACAUUGAUGGCUGUAAUGUUCAUGCAAUUGCAUAUCUCUGUAUGCAAUUACUAAUAGCGUGUAUGCAAAUCCAAGUCAUUGAAUGCAAUUAGAGUAUAUAGUUUUUUUUUCCAAAGUAUGCACGUAUCUCACAUUCAUAGUUGUAAUGUUCGUGGAAUUGCAUAGCUCAAUAUGCAAUUGCAUAGCUCAAUAUGCAAUUGCAUAUCUCUAUAUGCAAUUACUAAUAGCCUGUAUGCAAAUCCAAGUCAUUGAAUGCAAUGACAGUAUAUAGUUUUUGUUUCAAAUUAUGCAACUCAGGUGAUUUCGUGGUAGGUAGGUAGGUUUGACUGUGCUUUAGAAUAAUUUGUUAUGGGGAUUAAAGUGUUCCGAAAGUGUAAUGUGAGGAUUGGUUAAGAUUUGUAUUGGGAUUUGAAAUGAGUAAGAAUCCCGACCCAAUAGAGAAAUGCAUGGGUGGGUUGUGUGCAUUAUCUGUGCAAUGUAAUAAUCGAGG
RNAcentral lists this long non-coding RNA (1100 nucleotides) under Prunus dulcis (almond). Its description in RNAcentral is "sRNA ncRNA". Lineage: Eukaryota; Viridiplantae; Streptophyta; Magnoliopsida; Rosales; Rosaceae. The record is from RNAcentral.